CGAUUUAGCUUAAUUUGGUAGAGCAACGCAUUCGUAAUGCGUAGGUUGUAGGUUCAAGUCCUAUAAUCGGC
Molecule: transfer RNA, 71 nt
Filed under: bovine gut metagenome
Rfam family: tRNA
About the family: Transfer RNA (tRNA) molecules are approximately 80 nucleotides in length. Their secondary structure includes four short double-helical elements and three loops (D, anti-codon, and T loops).
Source: RNAcentral